ACCAGACUCCUACGGGAGGCAGCAGUGGGGAAUAUUGGGCAAUGGGCGCAAGCCUGACCCAGCAACGCCGCGUGAAGGAGGAAGGCUUUCGGGUUGUAAACUUCUUUUAAGAGGGAAGAGAAGAAGACGGUACCUCUUGAAUAAGCCACGGCUAACUACGUGCCAGCAGCCGCGGUAAUACGUAGGUGGCAAGCGUUGUCCGGAUUUACUGGGUGUAAAGGGAGCGUAGACGGCGCUGCAAGUCCGGAGUGAAAGUCCAUGGCUUAACCAUGGUACUGCUCUGGAAACUGUGGAGCUUGAGUGCGGGAGGGGCAGGCGGAAUUCCUAGUGUAGCGGUGAAAUGCGUAGAUAUUAGGAGGAACACCGGCGGCGAAGGCGGCUUACUGGACGGUAACUGACGUUGAGGCUCGAAAGCGUGGGGAGCAAACAGGAUUAGAUACCCUUGUAAG
Molecule: ribosomal RNA, 449 nt
Filed under: uncultured bacterium
Lineage: Bacteria
Description: bacterial SSU rRNA
Rfam family: Bacterial small subunit ribosomal RNA
Source: RNAcentral